Molecule: ribosomal RNA, 292 nt
Filed under: uncultured bacterium
Lineage: Bacteria
Description: partial 16S ribosomal RNA
Rfam family: Bacterial small subunit ribosomal RNA
Source: RNAcentral
GUGUCAGCAGCCGCGGUAAUACGGGGGGGGCAAGCGUUGUUCGGAAUUACUGGGCGUAAAGGGCUCGUAGGUGGCCCCAUAAGUCAGACGUGAAAUCCCUCGGCUCAACCGAGGAACUGCGUCUGAGACUGCGGGGCUUGAAUCCGGGAGAGGGAUGCGGAAUUCCAGGUGUAGCGGUGAAAUGCGUAGAUAUCUGGAGGAACACCGGUGGCGAAGGCGGCAUCCUGGACCGGUAUUGACACUGAGGAGCGAAAGCCAGGGGAGCAAACGGGAUUAGAAACCCUCGUAGUCC